GAGAGUGAGCGGCCGCGGGACAUGGACUCAAGCUAACACAGGUUCAUGGCGGAGCAGCUCACCUGCUGGUCUCCACUUCGUAGGCGGCAGUAGCUGCCUCACCAAUUGAUGUGCUCUUUUUAUUCCUUUGUAGAUCCAUUUUUUCCAACAGGCCUCAAUAAAAAUUGGGGAUCAAGAAAUUGAUCGCUUCGAAGUACUGAGCAUGCAUAUUCUUUCUUAUGCACGAGGGUAUGAAACAUGUUAUUGUUGCCAAUUCUUGCAGCACAGGGGAUUUUUGGUGCUCAAGUGGUCAACCCAUCCGCCAAUGCCGUCAUGAUCUUCAUUGGGUGUGCUUGCACUUUUUUUUGGAAGAUGCCAGGCUGUAGCGCUGCUUCAGUAUAUUAAGAGAAGAUUUACAAAAUCUGAAGAUGUAUAAUUACACUUGAUCUAUGCAUAUUUGCGUAGAUUUGAAUAACUUUGAGUUUGUGACCAUCACACUUGGUAUCUUCGCUGAUGUAUUUUUUGUUUUGCUAGAUCAAGUAGUUCCUGUGAAAUGACUUAGGGAAUAGAGUGGCUCACUGGGGUAAUUAGUAGUAGCGCCUCAUGCUGACAGGGAGUGCACGAUCGAGGUAUGUAUUUUCAGCUUGUUAGUCAGGAUGAAGUGGAAUACAUCAUAAUAUUUCUUUGCAUGAACUGUCAGGGACAUAUCACCACGUCCACUUAAUCCAGUUUAUCCGUGUUCAGUUCCAUAGAUUGCCUACCUGUGUUCGGAUUUACCAUGUAUUAUUUGACUAGAAAAAUUGCAUUGUUAAUCGCUUCAGAGAACAAGUGAAAAUGUAGGUUGUAUCCCUCUUUAGUUUGUUAACAAUCUAUUGACGGUCGCUUCAGAGAACAAGUGAAAAUUUAGGUUGUAUCCCUCUUUAGUUUGUUAACAAUCUAUUUACGGAGUCACUACUCCAUCAUCACAUAAUACACAUAUGUUAAGGUCAAGAAUUUGUCAUCUAUACUUCUGAUCCCUUUUUAGUUAUGCUGAACUUGAGAAAGUGGAUUAUUGGAACAAGUGAAUUAUUUUUGAAAAGUAAAUUGUCAGUCUGUUACAUGUGGGAAGAGACCUUUUGGAACAAGUGAAUUAUUUGAAAAUUAAAAUCUUUAAAUUUGUUAAAAGUGAAGUUACUCUCCAACUACAAUUCUAUGCAAGCAUUGAUCUUUAAAUUGAAGGUGAUUAUUCUUCUUAAGAAGGGAGAACGAUUCACUUUGGUGUAUAUGAUCCUAUGGUCUUUUUUAUUGAUUGCUAUGGUUGUUCCUAUUAUAUCCUCUAACUGACCCAACUUGCCAUUUCAUACUCAUGCUAUUAGAUCGGGUGCUCAUGCAAGAUGGUUACUUCUCUUAAGUGUGUGUUACUGUUUGUUUGUGGUUUAGACUUGAACACAUACUUUUGUUUGAAAACAAUAAGGGCCAGCCUCUCAUGAUUACGAUAACUAAUUAUUCAUUUAACACAUGCAGACUAUCAGAUACAACCGGAUGCCGCCACUUUGCAGUGUCAGAUUUAUGUUGGUGAGCUGGCCCAUGCUGUUCAUGGAAUGACUUGAUGUGAAAGGAAUUGGGCCCAUAGGUCGAGAAGAGAAGCUUUCGUUGAGCAUAACGGUGGUGUUGUUGGCAUUUUUUAUAUUAGUUAGAUCUUCAGAUAGCCUUUGUUUGGAGGUCAGAUAGUCUUAUUAUGAGGAUCGAGUAUGAAAUUAUGACAUUCUAUGAGGACUACGUUUCGGCACAUAAAUUAUGAACCAAUUAUUCCUUCUUGAAAGACGUUGUUUUUCCAGAAAAAUACUACUAUGAGUUCAGAAUUUUAGCAAAACAUGCAAGUUGUCAUUUUGAGAUUAGUUGUUAACUAGCAUUUGAAGGCAUGUGAUAAACAAAGAGACUAAUGGGUAUGUAUUGUAAAAUAUACAAUAUCACCUGUUGUGCAUGUGGAAUCUAUCUAAAGAUAUAGGUUACCCAUGAUCGGUGUUGAUCCACAAGAAUUUGUAUGUCCCCGUUGC
RNAcentral lists this long non-coding RNA (2015 nucleotides) under Triticum aestivum (bread wheat). RNAcentral's name for it is "long non-coding RNA (TAES_LNC024695)". Lineage: Eukaryota; Viridiplantae; Streptophyta; Magnoliopsida; Poales; Poaceae. The record is from RNAcentral.